CAGGGCAGUUUGCUACGAGGACAGGUACAGUCCCACUAGCCCAGGGACCUCCAAGAGAGCUGUGUGUUUGCAUCCAGUGUUCAGACUGGGCGUACAGCGUGGGAUGCGAAUGGUCCAGCGAUAACCCCAUAGAGACCAGAGGUGCAGGAUCACCCUGAAGGUGGUAGAUGGGAGAAGGAGGUGACGGCCGCUGUGCUGGAGAUACACUGCUGUGAGACUCUCUGGACAGACGCAACAGAUUCAUUUCUUUUGUGUCCUGUGUUGCUGAGCAUCUCUCAAUAUAUUUCUAACAGUAACCACACCUGAUAUCGCAGCCAGCAAGACCAAGAGGUCACACCUGCACCUGCUUCCUCCCUCACAGGGUCUCAUCCUACCCAGUGGGAGCCUGUGAGCUCUGACCCCGUGGCUGGAACGAGCCUGCCAUCAACACCUGCUUGGAGGAGCCAAUUUAAGGUCUGACCCACCAGCUCAGACCUCCUGAUGGAUGGAGGUGGUGACCAGCAGCCCUAGAGAGACCCUACAGCUGAUUUAGAUCUAGUGGGAGAGGAGGGAAGCUGGAGCAGCCAUGGAGCUCACCCUGUUCACCAGUGCUCUCAUUUGCAAAAUAUUCAGGCAGCAGGACAUAUGGAAAUCAUAUGAGGUUUUACCGCAUUACAUUUGAAAGCGAUCACUUUAAGAAUGUGGGGGCUCUCGAGUCGCAGGAUGCUCUCUAAUGCCGGACUGCUGAGGCAUCACCCAGAGGAUGGGAAUCCAAAACUCCUCGGUCUUUCAUCUUUGGGGGAUCACUAAGCUCCCUUGGUUGAAAGUGUAUUUGGUGAUGGUCAAAAAUCUCCCACUGAACUUUUUUCCGGGGAGAACAUGGGAUUUGGUUAUGUCGAUACCAUCUGUGUUCUCAAAAUGUUUGUUUUUUGAAUUGGAAACUGAAACCCCCACUGGUGAGCAGCCCAGUUCUCGGGAUCCAGCACCUGCCAAGGGGAUUUGUAAUGAUGAUGAGCACAGCAUCACCCAUCGUGGUGAUGUCUCCUGAGCUGGCACCUCCCUGCUGCCACAGAGCUGGAAAUGAGACAGGAAUGGUGAUGUGAGCAGGAGAUUUCAGGAAUGGGACUUUCUGACCAUGGCUGUUCCCACCCCUCUUUUCUUGCCUAGUGCGUCCCUGACUGCACAAAUUAGUCCUUAUCUGGCUCCAGCCAUGCCUACUGCCACUGAACUCCGCUUUUCCUAGAGGGACUCCACCCUUACCAUCCUUAUGCUUUUUAUUUGGGGUAACAGACAGUAAUUUCUCUAUUAUGGAUCAGCUGUAGAACCUGCCCAUGGCUCUGAUCACCAGCUAUAUGGUAACUCUGAAGCAGCGAACAAAGAGGUGUUACACAAGGUCAGCUCCCGCUUGCUAUUUUAAUUGUGCCUUUGCUGUUCGGGAGGUGAACGAAGCCUUGCACCCCCGCAGGACUGAAGGGGUAAGAACCAAGAAAAGCCGCCCAAAUCUACGUGGGCAGAAAAGUAAUUUGCUUUGCAGAAGGCCUGAAGCAGAGAGGGUGGAAGGAAGAAAGAGAGCAAGAAGGAAAGACAGACAUCUGCCAUGCAGCUCCCGCACCGGUAACAGGAACGAUGUGUCUGUUCAGACCGGAGCACACAUUGGUUUAGCCGGGCAAUUCUGCUGUCACAUGCCGCGCACCAGACAAAACCAUACAUCAAAGUUCCUCAGCACUUGCUAAGCAGCGAGCGUGGUCAUUUAUCAUGUAACGUUACAGACAUGCUAUUGCACCGUGGAAUGCGGUAUGUUACGCUGGAACACAGUGGCAGCCGCCUCCAAACGCGCUGAACGAUGGGGCGAUUUUGGGCUGGGGGAAAACAUCGGUUAGCUAUUACAGUGUGACCGUCAGCCUUGCCUUGUUUCUCAUUUAAGUUGCUCCGCUGAGGCUGCAUCAUUAAAACUUUCCUCGCUUGCAAUGUCUUUGCACCUCGUGUGUGCGGGAUACGUGAUAUACAAACAUCUUCCUACCCAGAUCGGGUCUCUAGGAUUAAAAAUAGAUGAUGAAUUAAAAUUUCAUAUGAAAUUCUAGCUUUGCUUUACCUGAUUAUCUGGAGUCAGCAAAGACAUAACUUCAGGCUUCUUAAGAUCUCCAGACGGGCUGCUUCGGAACGCUGGCAGUGUGCGCAGACGUGAUCAGCUCUACAAGGACAACAUGGGAUGAAUCGAUCAUACAAGAUUGAUGAGGCCACCAGGCGAAGUUUGGGUGAGAACCGCUUCCAGAUUUAACACCAGCUUUGCCUUCAUACUCCAACUGAAAGCAGAACUUUAUUGCCUGAGCACUGAGUAACUCGGGAAGGUUUAACCUGAGAGUCGCAUCUUUUCCCAGCUCCCUGAAGUGAGGGGAGCUUUGCCGAGCCCUAGGAAUGAACUGGGACGUGCACAGAUAGCAUCGGUGACUGCAGGUCCUGUGCAAGGAAAAAUAAAGUGCUCAAGUUGCAAAAAAAAAAAAAAAGAGCAAUCUAGGAGUGAAACAUGAGAGAAGUAUGUAGCCUGCCUGGCAGCUCCCUGUCGCUCCAACUUAACCAUCGAGGCUGCGGCGGAACCUUGGACUCACUUCUUGCUCCAGGAAAAGCCGCUUUGGUGCGGCUGGGAGGACUGGAAAACCUGCUCGUAUAAAACGAUAUUUGCAGAGUAAUCGGAGAAAGAAGAGAGAUCGCGCCAUUUGUGAAAGCAAUCUGUGCGGAUGAGCCGGGCAGCACAAGCAACGCCAGCAGCUCAGCUAAUCCAGCGGGAUGGAUCUAACGUGAAUAAACCAGAAGUGGAGGAAAGGAGAUAAGCCCUGGCACGGCUGUUGGCAGAAGGGGUUUUUUUCUCGCUUCGCCAACAGGAUUCCAGCCACCCACAAAACCCCCAACGUAUUUUUCCUUACAUUAGCCAAUUAAAACCCCAAUCUUAACUCCAAUAAACUCCCAGUGGUGCUGUAUACUGUUAUUUAUUUGUGCCUCCCGGUGCUGAUGAGCAAUCCUACAGGACCACAAGCCAGCAGUAAGACAUUUCCACCUCCAGUGCAGGCAAAGGAAGCGAAAUCAUCCGGGGGGGGGGGGAACCCAUGGACCAAGAAGAGACAAAUGGGAUUUUCAGAAUCGCUCUGAGCCGAACAAAGUCUGAUCUCACUGAGGUUAACUAGAGCUUUAUUCCCGGUAUCCGUAGGAGCAUCAUUACCGGGGGUAGUCCCAGCCAGGGCAGAGAUGGGGGCUGAGCAGCACCAGGCAGCGUAUGCCGAACGGACGCGGCUGGGCAGGGUGGAAGUGCUGUCUCCCGGAUCCCAGCCUUCCCGGGGAAUCUGGCCUUGACUAAGCCAGCAGAGCACGUUCUGGGGCGUGACAUUGCUCGUGACCUCCAUGGGCUACGAGGGGCAUCAGGGACAGACCUGUGAGCACAGUCCACCUCUCCUCACCCUCCGGGAAAUGUCUCUGAAGACAAAGCUCACAAGUGGAAAAGCUGCAAAGUGCCUGAGGUAGUAGGAACGGACCUUCAGCCAGGCAACCGGGUGACUUCUGGGGUAAGACGACUGGUCCUUGCACAAUAAAAUCCCAGAAUGACUCCAGAUUCCCCUGAUUGAGGCCAGAUUUGUUCUUUCACUUCCAAAUGGACUGCAAACCUUCAGUCAUGCACACAGCGUCAGCAAGACACUAAAAACCGACUGUCCCACCCCGAAGAGACCUGGAGCCCCUGUUAUGGAUCCCGUCCUGUCCAGGUACCUCCUAUCAGCCGAGAGUCCCCAGGUCAUUGCUGAUGCAGCAACGACGGAUGAGACGGAAAUCUGCAUGCUGGCUGCUGUGGGAUGGUGCGGUGGGUGAACAGCAACGUGGCCUGAACCAACAAAGACAUCGCGAGGGGCUGCUGUGAAAUUAGGACAUCUCUCCAGCCUUUGACUUUGGCUUUCCCAUGCGCUCUUGAUAACUAUAUAAAAAACCCCGUCUGGG
Molecule: long non-coding RNA, 3957 nt
Organism: Chroicocephalus ridibundus (black-headed gull)
Lineage: Eukaryota; Metazoa; Chordata; Aves; Charadriiformes; Laridae
Exons: 7
Source: RefSeq, a predicted model, not a curated record